Molecule: ribosomal RNA, 493 nt
Filed under: uncultured Bacillota bacterium
Lineage: Bacteria; Bacillati; Bacillota
Description: bacterial SSU rRNA
Rfam family: Bacterial small subunit ribosomal RNA
Source: RNAcentral
GGUUUUCGGAUCGUAAACUUCUAUCAGCAGGGAAGAUAAUGACAGUACCUGACUAAGAAGCCCCGGCUAACUACGUGCCAGCAGCCGCGGUAAUACGUAGGGGGCAAGCGUUAUCCGGAUUUACUGGGUGUAAAGGGUGCGUAGGCGGCCCAUUAAGUCAGAUGUGAAAGCCCGAAGCUCAACUUCGGGACUGCAUUUGAAACUGCUCAGCUAGAGUGCAGGAGAGGAAAGUGGAAUUCCUAGUGUAGCGGUGAAAUGCGUAGAUAUUAGGAAGAACACCAGUGGCGAAGGCGACUUUCUGGACUGUAACUGACGCUGAGGCACGAAAGCGUGGGGAGCGAACAGGAUUAGAUACCCUGGUAGUCCACGCCGUAACGAUGAAUGCUAGGUGUCGGGAGUCGAAUCUCGGUGCCGCAGCUAACGCAUUAAGCAUUCCACCUGGGGAGUACGAUCGCAAGAUUGAAACUCAAAGGAAUUGACGGAAUCUGAAUUC